UAAUGGGUCAGCGACUUAUAUUCUGUAGCAAGGUUAACCGAAUAGGGGAGCCGAAGGGAAACCGAGUCUUAACUGGGCGUUAAGUUGCAGGGUAUAGACCCGAAACCCGGUGAUCUAGCCAUGGGCAGGUUGAAGGUUGGGUAACACUAACUGGAGGACCGAACCGACUAAUGUUGAAAAAUUAGCGGAUGACUUGUGGCUGGGGGUGAAAGGCCAAUCAAACCGGGAGAUAGCUGGUUCUCCCCGAAAGCUAUUUAGGUAGCGCCUCGUGAAUUCAUCUCCGGGGGUAGAGCACUGUUUCGGCAAGGGGGUCAUCCCGACUUACCAACCCGAUGCAAACUGCGAAUACCGGAGAAUGUUAUCACGGGAGACACACGGCGGGUGCUAACGUCCGUCGUGAAGAGGGAAACAACCCAGACCGCCAGCUAAGGUCCCAAAGUCAUGGUUAAGUGGGAAACGAUGUGGGAAGGCCCAGACAGCCAGGAUGUUGGCUUAGAAGCAGCCAUCAUUUAAAGAAAGCGUAAUAGCUCACUGGUCGAGUCGGCCUGCGCGGAAGAUGUAACGGGGCUAAACCAUGCACCGAAGCUGCGGCAGCGACACUAUGUGUUGUUGGGUAGGGGAGCGUUCUGUAAGCCUGUGAAGGUGGCCUGUGAGGGUUGCUGGAGGUAUCAGAAGUGCGAAUGCUGACAUAAGUAACGAUAAAGCGGGUGAAAAGCCCGCUCGCCGGAAGACCAAGGGUUCCUGUCCAACGUUAAUCGGGGCAGGGUGAGUCGACCCCUAAGGCGAGGCCGAAAGGCGUAGUCGAUGGGAAACAGGUUAAUAUUCCUGUACUUGGUGUUACUGCGAAGGGGGGACGGAGAAGGCUAUGUUGGCCGGGCGACGGUUGUCCCGGUUUAAGCGUGUAGGCUGGUUUUCCAGGCAAAUCCGGAAAACCAAGGCUGAGGCGUGAUGACGAGGCACUACGGUGCUGAAGCGACAAAUGCCCUGCUUCCAGGAAAAGCCUCUAAGCAUCAGGUAACAUCAAAUCGUACCCCAAACCGACACAGGUGGUCAGGUAGAGAAUACCAAGGCGCUUGAGAGAACUCGGGUGAAGGAACUAGGCAAAAUGGUGCCGUAACUUCGGGAGAAGGCACGCUGAUAUGUAGGUGAAGCGACUUGCUCGUGGAGCUGAAAUCAGUCGAAGAUACCAGCUGGCUGCAACUGUUUAUUAAAAACACAGCACUGUGCAAACACGAAAGUGGACGUAUACGGUGUGACGCCUGCCCGGUGCCGGAAG
This 1276-nucleotide ribosomal RNA is filed under the name Escherichia coli. RNAcentral describes it as "bacterial LSU rRNA". It matches the Rfam family "Bacterial large subunit ribosomal RNA", at positions 613 to 1875 of the family's 2925-position model. The record is from RNAcentral. Lineage: Bacteria; Pseudomonadati; Pseudomonadota; Gammaproteobacteria; Enterobacterales; Enterobacteriaceae.